This 356-nucleotide long non-coding RNA is filed under the name Brassica napus (rape). RNAcentral describes it as "long non-coding RNA (BNAP_LNC013951)". The record is from RNAcentral. Lineage: Eukaryota; Viridiplantae; Streptophyta; Magnoliopsida; Brassicales; Brassicaceae.
CAAACAAUCUCAGCAAGUGUGAAUAGUUGACAGAUUGAUCCACUUUAAUAUCUUUAGUACUAUCUGCAAUCAGUAACAUCUAGAAUGGUGCUAAAGAGUGCUUAGAUAUCUAGCAAAAUCUAUAAGUUCAUAAUCCUCUUCUUGACUCAAUAAUAACUUAAUUUGAAAAACAUUUUAAUAAGACUCAUAAAUAAAUUACUAUCAGUAAACCUCCCCCAGACUUAAACUACACUGUCCCCAGUGUAAAUUCAGUCGGAAUUAUGGUGAGAAUUAAUCAUAAGUACAUAAUUUAACAACUAACAACGAUGACCUGCUCAGUUUCGAUCGACACAAUGAAGUGAUAAUCGAUCGUUGUU